RNAcentral lists this ribosomal RNA (425 nucleotides) under uncultured bacterium. RNAcentral's name for it is "bacterial SSU rRNA". It matches the Rfam family "Bacterial small subunit ribosomal RNA", at positions 354 to 796 of the family's 1533-position model. The record is from RNAcentral.
GUGGGGAAUAUUGGACAAUGGGCGCAAGCCUGAUCCAGCCAUGCCGCGUGAGUGAUGAAGGCCCUAGGGUUGUAAAGCUCUUUCAGUGGGGACGAUAAUGACGGUACCCACAGAAGAAGCCCCGGCUAACUUCGUGCCAGCAGCCGCGGUAAUACGAAGGGGGCUAGCGUUGUUCGGAUUUACUGGGCGUAAAGCGCACGUAGGCGGAUCGUUAAGUCGAGGGUGAAAUCCUGGAGCUCAACUCCAGAACUGCCUUCGAUACUGGCGAUCUUGAGUCCGGAAGAGGUGAGUGGAACUCCUAGUGUAGAGGUGGAAUUCGUAGAUAUUAGGAAGAACACCAGUGGCGAAGGCGGCUCACUGGUCCGGUACUGACGCUGAGGUGCGAAAGCGUGGGGAGCAAACAGGAUUAGAUACCCGGGUAGUCC